This is an RNA transcript of Epinephelus moara (kelp grouper), 2409 nucleotides long. It is a transcript of the gene named ATCAY kinesin light chain interacting caytaxin b, with no coding region annotated. The record is from RefSeq and is a predicted model, not a curated record. NCBI's taxonomy places the organism in Eukaryota, Metazoa, Chordata, Actinopteri, Perciformes, Serranidae. The transcript has 14 exons.
GCAUCACAGCUCUGGAGCAGGAGAAAAGGAGGGGAAUUCAUGUGGAGGAGGGGUUUCAUCAAGAGUGAGAGAGCUUAAAAGAGAUGGUGAGAAAAAGCAAGAGAGCGAGAGACCGCGUAUGUGAGGGAGGAAGAUGCUGUUGCCAGGGAACAGCAGUGAAGUAGAAACGUCCAUCUUUCGCAGCUCGCAGGAGGACAGACACACGUCAAACCAUGGAUGCAAAACGGACUGAACGUGAGGAGAAGGAAAACAGCUGAUCCUGACUCCCUGUGGCUUCAGAGAAUCAAAGAGAAGGGGGACACGAUUUCUUUCUCAGCCUCUGUUUGACGCUUCAGUGAACAGCAAGAAUCCUCCAGCAGCCCACAUGCAGAUGUAAACAGUGAUGAUCAACACUCUGCUCAGGCAGAUCUAAGGAGGAGGUGGAAUAAAAUAAAGAGGAGCAACUGAGAGCAAAACAGGGAAGCUUUCAAAACGGCACAGAGGAAGUCUUCCUGAUCACAGCAGUGAGCUGAAGCCCGUCCUCCCUGGCAGAGGAUGGGUACAGCAGAAGCUACUUUGCGCAUGGACAGCAUGGAGGUAAAGGACGAGUGGCAGGAUGAAGACUUCCCAAGGCCACUACCAGAGGAUGGAGACGUUGAUUCUUCAUGUGGCCUCACUGACAUCAGAAACAAUCCGCCAACCACUCUCAAUGUGGGCGAGACCAUGGCCCAGCGUAAGCGCCGCACUCUGGUGGCCCCCGACAUGAGCCUCUCUCUGGAUCAGAGCGAGGGUUCGGUGCUCUCUGAUGAGUUUCUGGAAACGCCCGAUGACCUGGACAUCAACGUAGACGACAUCGAGACUCCUGACGAGACAGAUUCGCUGGAGUUUAUCAACAAUGGCAACGAGCUGGAGUGGGAAGACGACACUCCUGUGGCCACUGCCAAGCGUCUUCCAGGUGAAAGUGAAGAGGAGAGAGACUCAUCUGGUCGUCUGUGGCGAACAGUGAUCAUUGGUGACCAGGAGCAGCGGAUUGAUAUGCAGGUCAUCAGACCGUACCUGAGGGUGGUCACACAUGGAGGUUAUUAUGGAGAGGGUCUGAAUGCCAUCAUAGUGUUUGCAGCCUGCUAUCUGCCUGACAGCGGCUGUGAGGACUACACAUACAUCAUGGAGAAUCUCUUCCUGUACGUUGUGAGUAGCCUGGAGCUGCUGGUGGCAGAAGAUUAUAUGAUUAUUUACCUGAACGGAGCAACUCCUCGCAGGAAGAUGCCCGGCAUCAGCUGGCUGAAGAAGUGCUAUCAGAUGAUUGACAGGAAACUGAGAAAGAAUCUAAAGUGUCUCAUCAUCGCUCACCCAACGUGGUUCAUCCGGACCGUCCUGGCCAUCUCAAGACCUUUCAUCAGUGUGAAGUUCAUGGAUAAGAUCCGUUACGUUCACACCUUGGAGGAACUCAGCCAAAUCAUCCCCAUGGAGCAUGUGCAGAUCCCAGAGUGUGUGUUGCAAUAUGAUGAGGAGAAGAUAAGAACACAAAGAGAAAGACUUGAGCAAGAGCAGCAGCAGACAAACUCGACACUGCCUAAAGAAAGGUGACCCCAUUUUGCAGUACAUACAGUCCAGUGCCAAUUUUAGGCCAAAGUCAAUGGUAGCAGAUGUUGGUCGUGACAUCUGACAUUAAGAGCUUUAAACUGAAGAACCAAUGGGGGACAUUCAAUCAUUAAAAUGGGAGCCAGCCAAAACCGCCAUCACAUGCUUGUUGCACAGGGUUACAUCUCCUGACUGGAUCCAUUAGCUGCAAGACAAUCAUUUCUCAAAAACAUUAUUUUCAUUGAUAUACUUGCUUCUACAAGUUAAUUAACACCAAAGCAUUAUAAGAUUUAACUAAAUCACAAAGUAUCUGCUCCCUGCAUGUCAAGUUGAGCUUUAUCUACAGCAUGACUUCAACUAUAUAAAUGAAAAAUUAAGGACUUGGAUUAACAUUCAAGCAUCUUCCGACAAAGCCGGGGAAUAUUGUCUGUUUCAAAAUGUACAUACUUGUAUAGAUAUUUUUGAGGAAAGUUGUUUGCACAGAUGUUUGGUUUUUGAUAUGAGUGGCAUGGGUAUUGUUUGGUUUAAUGGCCAUUUACUGAAAAAUAAUGUGCAAUGAUAUUGUUCUUCUUAGACCUACAGUAGAUGUUACUGAUGCAAAUGUGCGUUACAGUUUUUAAGUUUUCCAGAGUUUGAUAUGCAGGUGGCAUGCUUGUUUAAAUCCUUCUGUCUCAUUUGUUUUUGUCAGUUUUUAGGUCAUUCGCCAUCAUAUUUUAAAAGGUACUUUUGCAAGAUGGGAAACAUACAUUGUUACAUAUGAAAUUAAAUAUAUUUAAAGAGAGAGUCAAAUUAAUUGCUUAAAAGUGUUAUUUAUGAAGAUGUGCCAUUUACUGUUUGUAAAAAAAGAAA